UAAAUUGGUUGUUUCUCAAUGUCUUAUGUAAACAAAAUAAUCUUGUAUUUUAAAAUAUUAUAAGCAUUGUAACAUCUUAGGUACCAGUCUUAAUUCCUUAUCAAUUAUCUAAGUCAACGAAAAAUAAAAAAAUAUAAAUGCAUUGACAUAAAAGUUAUCACCAAAACAUAGAAGAUCAGUAAUUUAUUGACAUUUUUAAGUCAACAAUAGUUUACCAUGUUAACCGAUGUCACCACCUUGUAAACAUGUAUACAGCUUCUUGGCUUGAUUAAAUUAACAAUGGUUGCAUGUUUGAAUCUAAAGAUGUCCUAAGUCAAAAAUAUGCAACAGCAAAAAAAGAAAGAAAAGAAAAGGAUAGGAAAUAAAAGGAAAUGGGCAAAGAUGGGGAAAAAAAUUCUUCGUUUGGAAAUAAAUACAACGGCAAAGUUUUCAUACGCACAUGGAAACCUUUUAAAUUAUUUAGACAUAAACAAAAAGUGGAAAGUUUCACAAUGACAGCACAUAUCUGUCCAUAUUUUCCUGCGGGAAAUUUCCCAAAAUGGGAUAUAAAAUAGAAUGUUGUGAAGCGGUUUACCACCAAAAACCAUUUAAUCACAAGACAAAAAUGGAAGACUUCACACAGUGUGAAUUAACUUUGUUAAGUGUUUUCAAUUCCUGUGUUUACUGUAGAACAGUUUGCAUUAACAAUAUUUUAUAACAAAGAUAUGUAUGGACAUAAAGACACACACACAGACAGGACAGAACAACAUACGAUUAGACAGAUUAAUAAAGGUACAAGACAAAGAGAUAUAUACGAACGAUCAAAUGGAUGCGCCAAGGCAAGCCUAAUAGAGAUUUACAGACGGACAAAUAGACAAACACAUACAUUACAAAGAGAUAUAUGGUUGUACAUUGUCGCACAUAGACAUGACGAAAAAUUGGGAGGAGACAUAAGCACACAGAAAACGGAAC
Molecule: long non-coding RNA, 951 nt
Filed under: Mytilus galloprovincialis (Mediterranean mussel)
Lineage: Eukaryota; Metazoa; Mollusca; Bivalvia; Mytilida; Mytilidae
Source: RNAcentral